RNAcentral lists this non-coding RNA (117 nucleotides) under Chlorocebus sabaeus (green monkey). Lineage: Eukaryota; Metazoa; Chordata; Mammalia; Primates; Cercopithecidae. The record is from Rfam by way of RNAcentral.
GCUGGGUGUGGUGGCUCACACCUGUAAUCCCAGCACUUUGGGAGGCCGAGGCAGGCGGAUUGCCUGAGGUCAGGAGUUCGAGACCACCCUGACUAACACGGUAAAACCCUGUCUCUU